CAAAGAAUAGUUUAAUUAAAAUAUUAGUUUUGGGGACUAGUGAUGAGAGGAUUCUCUUUUCUUUGA
This 66-nucleotide transfer RNA is filed under the name Leuctra fusca. Its description in RNAcentral is "tRNA-Pro". Lineage: Eukaryota; Metazoa; Arthropoda; Insecta; Plecoptera; Leuctridae. The record is from RNAcentral.